Molecule: ribosomal RNA, 459 nt
Filed under: uncultured bacterium
Lineage: Bacteria
Description: partial 16S ribosomal RNA
Rfam family: Bacterial small subunit ribosomal RNA
Source: RNAcentral
CCUACGGGAGACUGCAGUGAGGAAUAUUGGUCAAUGGGCGGAAGCCCGAACCAGCCAAGUAGCGUGCGGGAUGACGGCCCUACGGGUCGUAAACCGCUUUUGCACGGGGAUAACACCCUCCACUUGUGGAGGUCUGCAGGUACCGUGCGAAUAAGGGCCGGCUAAUUCCGUGCCAGCAGCCGCGGUAAUCCGGACGGCCCGAGCGUUAUCCGGAUUCAUUGGGUUUAAAGGGAGCGUAGGCGGGCGUUAAAGUCAGCUGUAAAAUACCGCGGCUCAACCGCGCGCCUCAGUUGAAACUGGACGCCUUGAGUUCACAACAGGCAGGCGGAAUGCGUGGUGUAGCGGUGAAAUGCAUAGAUAUCACGAGGAACCCCGAUUGCGAAGGCAGCCUGCCGGGGUGCGACUGACGCUGAGGCUCGAAGGUGCGGGUAUCAAACAGGAUUAGAUACCCUUGUAGUC